AGCUUUACACAUGCAGUCGAACGGCAGCACGAGAGAGCUUGCUCUCUUGGUGGCGAGUGGCGGACGGGUGAGUAAUAUAUCGGAACGUGCCUAGUAGCGGGGGAUAACUACUCGAAAGAGUGGCUAAUACCGCAUACGCCCUACGGGGGAAAGGGGGGGAUCGCAAGACCUCUCACUAUUAGAGCGGCCGAUAUCGGAUUAGCUAGUUGGUGGGGUAAAGGCUCACCAAGGCAACGAUCCGUAGCUGGUUUGAGAGGACGACCAGCCACACUGGGACUGAGACACGGCCCAGACUCCUACGGGAGGCAGCAGUGGGGAAUUUUGGACAAUGGGGGAAACCCUGAUCCAGCCAUCCCGCGUGUAUGAUGAAGGCCUUCGGGUUGUAAAGUACUUUUGGCAGAGAAGAAAAGGUACCUCCUAAUACGAGGUACUGCUGACGGUAUCUGCAGAAUAAGCACCGGCUAACUACGUGCCAGCAGCCGCGGUAAUACGUAGGGUGCAAGCGUUAAUCGGAAUUACUGGGCGUAAAGCGUGUGUAGGCGGUUCGGAAAGAAAGAUGUGAAAUCCCAGGGCUUAACCUUGGAACUGCAUUUUUAACUGCCGAGCUAGAGUAUGUCAGAGGGGGGUAGAAUUCCACGUGUAGCAGUGAAAUGCGUAGAUAUGUGGAGGAAUACCGAUGGCGAAGGCAGCCCCCUGGGAUAAUACUGACGCUCAGACACGAAAGCGUGGGAGCAAACAGGAUUAGAUACCCUGGUAGUCCACGCCCUAAACGAUGUCAACUAGCUGUUGGGGCCGUUAGGCCUUAGUAGCGUAGCUAACGCGUGAAGUUGACCGCCUGGGGAGUACGGUCGCAAGAUUAAAACUCAAAGGAAUUGACGGGGACCCGCACAAGCGGUGGAUGAUGUGGAUUAAUUCGAUGCAACGCGAAAACCUUACCUAC
This 940-nucleotide ribosomal RNA is filed under the name uncultured bacterium. Its description in RNAcentral is "bacterial SSU rRNA". It matches the Rfam family "Bacterial small subunit ribosomal RNA", at positions 45 to 978 of the family's 1533-position model. The record is from RNAcentral.